UGAGAACACGGAAAGGAAGACAUCCAUGCCUCAACCUAGCCUAUCACAAAACAAGAAUGAUCUGGGCUACAAAUCUGCCUACAGCCAAGUGACCCCCCUUAUAAGCCAACCAUUCUCAAUUCCUAGCAGGACACCUGCUUGUCAGCUCAGUUGUAUUCUAACUUCAUGGAAGAUAAAGUAAUAUAAGUCAUGAUGACUGCUAGAGACUAGUGUACUAAUAAAGAGAGUCAGAUAUAUACAUAAACCAAGGAGAUGGUGCUUCCCACGGGCCACAGAUCAUUGUCUGCAAAGACUUUGAUAGGGCCAAAGAAAGAAUGGUUCCUUCCAUGUGGAGCUAUCUUGGAAAAAUGCCUCAAAGAGGGCUCAGAACCCACAAGGAUUCUCUAGAGGGAGGGACUUAGUAGAAUGAAAGCUCAGAGUCUGUUUCCAUGUACAAACUGGGGGAAUCUUGUAAAAGGUUCUUGAUGACUUGACAUUGUCCACCAGAAGCCAGUCCUCUACCAUCCAGGAAAGAAUUAUCUGGACCUCAUGUUCCCACAAUGCACUUCUUUGCACUUUCCCACACUGAAGCUCAUCUGCCACUUCCACCCACAGCCCGCCUUAAGCAAUCUUCCUGCUGCCGUCUACCCAUCAGCCUGAUGUCUUCUGUUCCAUGACAUUUUUAGCAUUGUCUGCAAACUUGGGAGGGACUCAGCACACUCCUCUACC
Long non-coding RNA from Mus pahari (shrew mouse), 708 nucleotides. RefSeq lists it as uncharacterized. The record is from RefSeq and is a predicted model, not a curated record. NCBI's taxonomy places the organism in Eukaryota, Metazoa, Chordata, Mammalia, Rodentia, Muridae. The transcript is spliced from 3 exons.